Molecule: signal recognition particle RNA, 287 nt
Filed under: Vombatus ursinus (common wombat)
Lineage: Eukaryota; Metazoa; Chordata; Mammalia; Diprotodontia; Vombatidae
Description: Metazoan signal recognition particle RNA (ENSVURG00010020929.1)
Rfam family: Metazoan signal recognition particle RNA
About the family: The signal recognition particle (SRP) is a universally conserved ribonucleoprotein.
Source: Rfam by way of RNAcentral
CCCAAGGGUGUUGGAAUACACCUGUAAUCCUAGCUAACUGGAGGGGCUGAAGCUAGCAGGUCUCUUGAACUGGGGAGUUCUGAGCUAUAGUGAGCUAACCUAACUGGGUAUCCCCACUGUGUUCAGCAUUAAUAUGGUGAGCCUUCAGGAGUGGGAGGCCACCAGAUUGCCUAAGGAGGGGCAAAGCAGCCCAGGUCAGAAACAGAGUAGGCCAAAGCUUCCAUGCCCAUCAAUAGUGGAAUCAGGUUGGUGAGAGGCCACUGCACUUCUAGCCUAGGCAAGAGAUU